UGCCUUUAAACCUAAUCAAUUUGCCUGUCUGGUGACACUGCCACCGACCGGAAGCUGAAGCUCACCCGCUCCGAGGCACAAGUCCGGACAUUAAAAGCAGUCAUUAACUUUUAAAUGAAGCAACGGAAACAAGAUAAGCACGUGAGGUGGGUGGCGAGCCCGCGACCCCCUGAUCCUGAACCGAGUCCGACUCACCCCAACCCCCCCCCCCCCACACACACUCACACAGCCCACUGCCACGCCCACCACGUCGCCGCAACCAAAUGACCCAUAAUUAUUCAAUAAGAAAUAAUAAAGUGUGGGACAGAGGAAGUCGCAACGAAAACGGGGGGCACAUAUUUUCACUGAUGGACACGCCAAGGCUCAAAGGAUGCGGGGAAAAUGGGGAAUUGGGAUUUUGAGGGUACACUGCAAAAAGAACCCAAAGGUCGUGAGCUCAGCAAAUUAAACACACUUGGUGUGUCUGCAUAAGAC
Molecule: non-coding RNA, 474 nt
Organism: Drosophila melanogaster (fruit fly)
Lineage: Eukaryota; Metazoa; Arthropoda; Insecta; Diptera; Drosophilidae
Source: Ensembl